Molecule: long non-coding RNA, 1656 nt
Filed under: Zea mays
Lineage: Eukaryota; Viridiplantae; Streptophyta; Magnoliopsida; Poales; Poaceae
Description: long non-coding RNA (ZMAY_LNC005544)
Source: RNAcentral
UAUAGUGGUCGACUAGUUUUGCCUGUUUUGGGCCACUAAUCCGGUCUCUGUUACAUGGGCCGACCCACCAUCUGUACAAUAUAAAUAGCAUAUAGUAUAUGUAUGUAUGCAACUGUCAUGGGCAUCAUAGGGAGCGAGAGGCAACAGCCAGGCUGGGAUAAGGCUAGAGAAUAAGAUUAAGAUGAGCUGGGAUAAGGCUAGAGAAUAAGAUUGAGAUGAGAGAAUUGUGGAGAGUUGGUUAGCAUCAGAUAAGUCCAAGAAAGUAGGAGUUAGUUGAGAGUUUUAGGAGAAGUUGGUUAGCCAUAGGGCUAUUUAUAAGCCGCACGGCAGCAAGGAAUAAAUCAAGCAAAGAUCAUUAUCAAACCAAUCUCUCCCUUGCAAUGACCCUCUCAAGCGCCUAGGGCUGCUACCCUAGAACCAAGCCUGCGGCAGAGGGGUAUAACCUCGCCGGAGAAGACAGCUAUCCCCAUGGACUGAAGGUCCAUGACACCUGGUAUCAGCUCCAGGUUAUCCUCACCACCACCAGCCGCCCAUCCCUCACCACCACCAGCCGCCGCACCAUCUGCUGCCGCAACGCCCUCCCACCCGCCCUCUCCAACUCUAGAUGCAUUCACUCGGCUCGAAGAGAAGUGGGACCAAUUCGUUGUGAUGUUCCACCGCUACAAGGAGAAGACAGAGAAGGAACUCCAAGCAGCGGUGCGGCUUCAGGCGGCAGCGCGAGUGUUCCUGGCACGCCGCCAGGUACAGUCCCUUCGUGGGGAGAAGCACCUUGCUGUGGCCUCCAGGGCCACCCCAUGGCCGUCAUCACAUGAGCAGGCCGUGGUGCGCCUGCAAGCCGCAGUGCGCGGCUUCCUUGUUAGGCGGGCGGUGCGGAAGCUGCACUUGUUGAUCAGCUCAUCGCUGCACCAACUCGCAGCCUGCGCGCCCAACCACCAGGUCUCGUCUAUACUUUUUGAACCCACUGUAGAAGUCGAGAUCUGGGUAUGCAGCCCCCCUGCACGGCCAAAGAGGGUCGUCUCCUUCAUUCGGGCAACUUCCUUGGUGCUGGACAGACCCAACAUAAGAACGGGCUGGUUCCUCCUUCACCUGUCAUCCAACGUGAAGUCCGCAGUUCAGCUCUUUCCUUGGGAUCCAGGAGGACAGGAGGACAUAGCUGGAGUUCAAAUUUAUAUUUUAGUUCCACAAUUAUUUUGUAUUUUCGUCUUAAAUAAUAAAGGUAAGCCGAGAUGUAAAAGGCUUAACCUUAAGUCGUGUCAGGUAAGUCUAUGGCAGCUCGAGGACGAGCUGGUCCUCAAGGGAGGGGGAGAUGUCAUGGGCAUCAUAGGGAGCGAGAGGCAACAGCCAGGCUGGGAUAAGGCUAGAGAAUAAGAUUGAGAUGAGCUGGGAUAAGGCUAGAGAAUAAGAUUGAGAUGAGAGAAUUGUGGAGAGUUGGUUAGCAGUAGAUAAGUCCAAGAAAGUAGGAGUUAGUUGAGAGUUUGUAGGAGAAGUUGGUUAGCCAUAGGGCUAUUUAUAAGCCGCAUGGCAGCAGGGAAUAAAUCAAGCAAGAUCAUUAUCAAACCAAUCUCUCUCUCUUGCAAUGACCCUCUCAAGCGCCUAGGGCUGCUACCCUAGAACCAAGCCUGCGGCAGAGGGGUAUAACCUCGCCGGAGAAGACAG